Molecule: ribosomal RNA, 34 nt
Filed under: Leptopterigynandrum incurvatum
Lineage: Eukaryota; Viridiplantae; Streptophyta; Bryopsida; Hypnales; Taxiphyllaceae
Description: partial 26S ribosomal RNA
Source: RNAcentral
AUCAGACCUCUAAUCGGAAAAGACUACCCGCUGA